AUUGAACGCUGGCGGCAGGCCUAACACAUGCGAGUCGAGCGGAUGAAGGGAGCUUGCUCCUGGAUUCAGCGGCGGACGGGUGAGUAAUGCCUAGGAAUCUGCCUGGUAGUGGGGGAUAACGUCCGGAAACGGGCGCUAAUACCGCAUACGUCCUGAGGGAGAAAGUGGGGGAUCUUCGGACCUCACGCUAUCAGAUGAGCCUAGGUCGGAUUAGCUAGUUGGUGGGGUAAAGGCCUACCAAGGCGACGAUCCGUAACUGGUCUGAGAUGAUGAUCAGUCACACUGGAACUGAGACACGGUCCAGACUCCUACGGGAGGCAGCAGUGGGGAAUAUUGGACAAUGGGCGAAAGCCUGAUCCAGCCAUGCCGCGUGUGUGAAGAAGGUCUUCGGAUUGUAAAGCACUUUAAGUUGGGAGGAAGGGCAGUAAGUUAAUACCUUGCUGUUUUGACGUUACCAACAGAAUAAGCACCGGCUAACUUCGUG
RNAcentral lists this ribosomal RNA (484 nucleotides) under uncultured bacterium. RNAcentral's name for it is "partial 16S ribosomal RNA". It matches the Rfam family "Bacterial small subunit ribosomal RNA", at positions 30 to 507 of the family's 1533-position model. The record is from RNAcentral.